UUGGGGCCCAUGGGGCCAGAGUUGGCUAUCUGGAUGCUGAGGCCUCUAGCCUGUGGGGAGAUUGCAGGAUGCAGGACACUGCUGUAGACCAGACGAGUAUGUACGUACGCUAGUGACUACCUCACUAAGGACAGAAUGUGACUAUUUGUGCUGCUGCUCACCUUGGUGUUUUGCAGCCCAGCUCU
Molecule: long non-coding RNA, 185 nt
Organism: Cavia porcellus (domestic guinea pig)
Lineage: Eukaryota; Metazoa; Chordata; Mammalia; Rodentia; Caviidae
Rfam family: Deleted in lymphocytic leukemia 1 conserved region 1
Source: Rfam